GGGCCCGCACAAGCAGCGGAGCAUGUGGCUUAAUUCGAAGCAACGCGAAGAACCUUACCAGGGCUUGACAUAUGGGUGAAGCGGGGGAGACCCCGUGGCCGAGAGGAGCCCAUACAGGUGGUGCAUGGCUGUCGUCAGCUCGUGUCGUGAGAUGUUGGGUUAAGUCCCGCAACGAGCGCAACCCCCGCCGCGUGUUGCCAUCGGGUGAUGCCGGGAACCCACGCGGGACCGCCGCCGUCAAGGCGGAGGAGGGCGGGGACGACGUCAAGUCAUCAUGCCCCUUAUGCCCUGGGCUGCACACGUGCUACAAUGGCCGGUACAGAGGGAUGCCACCCCGCGAGGGGGAGCGGAUCCCGGAAAGCCGGCCCCAGUUCGGAUUGGGGGCUGCAACCCGCCCCCAUGAAGUCGGAGUUGCUAGUAAUCGCGGAUCAGCAUGCCGCGGUGAAUGCGUUCCCGGGCCUU
This 462-nucleotide ribosomal RNA is filed under the name uncultured bacterium. Its description in RNAcentral is "bacterial SSU rRNA". It matches the Rfam family "Bacterial small subunit ribosomal RNA", at positions 917 to 1382 of the family's 1533-position model. The record is from RNAcentral.